Molecule: long non-coding RNA, 1752 nt
Organism: Vicia villosa (hairy vetch)
Lineage: Eukaryota; Viridiplantae; Streptophyta; Magnoliopsida; Fabales; Fabaceae
Exons: 3
Source: RefSeq, a predicted model, not a curated record
ACAGAAACAGAAGCUCGUGAAAAUCAAAACCCCAUUGAAAAUCUUCUCCAAACUAAACCAUCUUCUCUUCGGUGUACAACAGUUGAUUAUCUUCAAAUCAUCAAAAUCGCCUUCAAAUCAGUUUCAUUCAAAUCAUCUUCUCAAUCAAUUUCAUCUUAGGGCUUCAAAUAACCUUCUCAAAUCAAUUUCAUCUUAGGGCUUCAAAUCAUCUUCUGAAAAAGAUUUAGGGUUUCAGCUCGUGAGUAGCCCAGAGCGAACAAAGGAACGUAGAACUUUCAAUGAACGCAACUUUUAGAUCGUGAUUCGGUAUUGGAUUCGCGUAUUUCAGAAGAGUCUAUGAACACAGCGGAAGCACAAAGUGUUGAGAUGCAAGUGAAAGGCAACCAUGCACUAGGGACUAAGAAAGUAAAAAAGAAUUUCCUUGGACACUUCAACAAAUUGAUCUUUGAAAAAGGAAAAUGAACUCCACAUGAAAAUUAUGGAGCUUGAGACCAACAUGAAGGAGUUAAGUUGGAAUAGGUAUGUUUUUGUAUUUCUUUGGAAGUGAUUUUCAAAUGGAUUAAAAUGUGUUUUAUAAGAGUCCAUUAUGAAUUUAAAAAUAUAAAUGUACUAAAUGAAUUAUGGCUCAGUGGACAAGAACAAUAUUCAUAGUUAUUCUUCUACUACUUAAUUUUGAAAUGUGUACCUCAAAACUCAACUCAUGCUUUUGUUCUUAUUUUAUAUUAACCAUUUUUAGUUGACAUGGCGAAGAGAUUGCCGUGUGGGCAUGAGUAUCAUGGAGAUUGCAUUGUUCCAUGGUUGAGUAGUAGAAAUUCUUGUCCUGUUUCCAGGUUUUAGCUUCCAACAGAUGAUAAAGAGUAUGAAGAAGAGAGAGCUUCAGGUUCUGGGCGCGGUGGAGCUUCCACCGUGUGAGUAUGCUCUGUUAAAUCAUUGUAAUAUAUUCCAUGCUUUCUAUCUAUCCUUUAUGGAGUUCCUUUUUAAAUUUUUUGUUCCCUGAAGAGAGGUAUAUGCAAAUAAUUGAGGCCCAAGAUUUACAAUCAACCGAGUCUCAAGCUUAUAUUCAAUUGGCACUGUUGAGGUCCAAAGAUUUACAUUGGACCAUUCUCGAGCAGACGUUCAAUUGGCACUGUUGGAUUAAGUUUGAGUCGUUAGACCUGCUUGGAUUGUGCUUUCCUAUUAAGCAUCUUAUUUCAUAAUGAUCAUGGCUCUAUGAAGCUAGAGUUAGAAUCUUGUUCAUGUAUGAACCUUCAAUUCAGUGAUCUCUUAAAAUAGAGGCGCUAGUAUUGCUUUAGAGGAAGAUAGUGAUGGUUACUUAUCAUACACACAGCAGCAGUGUUGGCUAGUAAUGGUGGUGUAUUGCAGGCACUAAAAGUUCAAGUUCGGAUAUGUAGAGACCUCUUUUAUAUUAACCAUUUAGAUUUGAACAUCUUUGUAGGAAUUUCUUUUACAUUAACCAUUUUGAGUUAGAACAUCUAUUCAGGGACCUCUCUUAUAAUAAUAUAAGUGGCUUCUUCCCGAUAAUUAAUCAUAGUUUAAGUCUCUGAGAGACGUUUACUAAUUUCAACUUAUGUCAUAAUAUAUUGGUAUAUGAGUUUGUAGGACUAAUAGAACUCAAUUUUGCUAGUACCCAUGGAGUGAACAUGUCAUGGUUGUAAAGUACUUUUUUAAACCUUGUUGUGAUAUUUGUAAACAAGUGGAUUUGAUUUAAAAUAUUUGGUAUUGAUGGAUCAUAGUAUGUAUGUAAUGAGUAAC